GCUGGGGGUGGCCGCAGAGACCAGCGAGAAGCGACUGUUUACUAAAAACACAGGUCCGUGCGAAGCCGUAAGGCGAUGUAUACGGACUGACGCCUGCCCGGUGCUGGAACGUUAAGGGGACCGGUUAGUCGACCUUCGGGUUGGCGAAGCUGAGAACUUAAGCGCCAGUAAACGGCGGUGGUAACUAUAACCAUCCUAAGGUAGCGAAAUUCCUUGUCGGGUAAGUUCCGACCUGCACGAAUGGCGUAACGACUUCUCGACUGUCUCAACCAUAGGCCCGGUGAAAUUGCAUUACGAGUAAAGAUGCUCGUUUCGCGCAGCAGGACGGAAAGACCCCGGGACCUUUACUAUAGCUUGAUAUUGGUGUUCGGUUCGGCUUGUGUAGGAUAGGUGGGAGACUGUGAAGCGCCAACGCCAGUUGGUGUGGAGUCGUUGUUGAAAUACCACUCUGGUCGUGCUGGAUGUCUAACCUGGGUCCGUGAUCCGGAUCAGGGACAGUGUCUGGUGGGUAGUUUAACUGGGGCGGUUGCCUCCUAAAGGGUAACGGAGGCGCCCAAAGGUUCCCUCAGCCUGGUUGGCAAUCAGGUGUUGAGUGUAAGUGCACAAGGGAGCUUGACUGUGAGACUGACGGGUCGAGCAGGUACGAAAGUAGGGACUAGUGAUCCGGCGGUGGCUUGUGGAAGCGCCGUCGCUCAACGGAUAAAAGGUACCCCGGGGAUAACAGGCUGAUCUUCCCCAAGAGUCCAUAUCGACGGGAUGGUUUGGCACCUCGAUGUCGGCUCGUCGCAUCCUGGGGCUGGAGUCGGUCCCAAGGGUUGGGCUGUUCGCCCAUUAAAGCGGUACGCGAGCUGGGUUUAGAACGUCGUGAGACAGUUCGGUCCCUAUCCGCUGUGCGCGUAGGAGUCUUGAGAAGGGCUGUCCCUAGUACGAGAGGACCGGGACGGACGAACCUCUGGUGUGCCAGUUGUUCUGCCAAGGGCAUGGCUGGUUGGCUACGUUCGGAAAGGAUAACCGCUGAAAGCAUCUAAGCGGGAAGCCUGCUUCGAGAUGAGGGCUCCCUCCCACUUGAUGGGGUAAGGCUCCCAGUAGACGACUGGGUUGAUAGGCCAGAUAUGGAAGACCGGUAACGGUUGGAGUUGACUGGUACUAAUAGGCCGAGGGCUUGUCCUC
RNAcentral lists this ribosomal RNA (1170 nucleotides) under Streptomyces sp. CT34. RNAcentral describes it as "bacterial LSU rRNA". It matches the Rfam family "Bacterial large subunit ribosomal RNA", at positions 1766 to 2925 of the family's 2925-position model. Lineage: Bacteria; Bacillati; Actinomycetota; Actinomycetes; Kitasatosporales; Streptomycetaceae. The record is from RNAcentral.